CUUACCUGGUCCGGUAUCUCGGAGAAUAGGCUUUCCGUGUUCAACAAAGCUUGUCGACUCGAGGUUAGAUCCGGUGGUUCUUCUUGUAACAAGAAGCUAUGCAUGAUGAUUUUAUCCUCCUCGGGAAUAGAUUUGAACAUUAAGGGCUCUGGAUUUUUCUGCUUGGCAUCAUUUGUUGUUGAUGCCUCUUUUGGUUCCGCAUGUAUCUCCUUAUCACCUAUAUUUGUUUCAACACUUUUGGCAAAAGACAAGUGUAUUAAAGCAGUCAUGGGAACUUCAUAAACAAAAUGAAACGAGUUACUAUGAACCUUUAUAGUUUUA
RNAcentral lists this long non-coding RNA (321 nucleotides) under Capsella rubella. RNAcentral describes it as "long non-coding RNA (CRUB_LNC000725)". The record is from RNAcentral. Lineage: Eukaryota; Viridiplantae; Streptophyta; Magnoliopsida; Brassicales; Brassicaceae.